GCGAAGGUAGAAUCAUCCAAGACCCUACCGCCCACAUCAUCAGGUUCCGUAUCCAAGAGACCAAGCGACGCUCCGAGGGCCAUGCCAUCCAUGCGUGAGCAAAGACAACAUGGGCCACAGAGACCACUUCGAGGUUCGUGCAACGCCGCAAGCGGCGCAUUACGAAUAUUUACUUCGAUCAAGCCAUACGAUGCCCUUGAUUAGGUAUGCAACACAGGAAACCCACCGUAUGCACAAGACAAACAAGGCCUUGUAGCACAACUGAAGAGGCUUGGACGCAUGAAAGUUCCUGCACAAGCAGCCAACAAACACCCGUAACAAGCCAAACACAACUCAUACACCUUUACAACAAGCAUUCCAGAGGACGACCUAGCUUCCAACCACUCCCUUGGCACUAACACCAAGCAAG
This 409-nucleotide unclassified non-coding RNA is filed under the name Tolpis farinulosa. RNAcentral's name for it is "partial external transcribed spacer". The record is from RNAcentral. Lineage: Eukaryota; Viridiplantae; Streptophyta; Magnoliopsida; Asterales; Asteraceae.